This 74-nucleotide transfer RNA is filed under the name Cotesia glomerata. RNAcentral's name for it is "tRNA-Ala". The record is from RNAcentral. Lineage: Eukaryota; Metazoa; Arthropoda; Insecta; Hymenoptera; Braconidae.
GUCUCAGAUAGCUUAACUGGUAGAGCGAUGGGCGCGCAACUAACCAAUCCGGGUUCGAGUCCCGGUCUUGAACU